This 936-nucleotide ribosomal RNA is filed under the name uncultured Ascomycota. Its description in RNAcentral is "eukaryotic LSU rRNA". The stretch from base 289 to 936 matches the Rfam family "Eukaryotic large subunit ribosomal RNA", at positions 1 to 664 of the family's 3401-position model. Lineage: Eukaryota; Fungi; Ascomycota. The record is from RNAcentral.
AUCGAUGAAGAACGCAGCGAAAUGCGAUAAGUAGUGUGAAUUGCAGAAUUCAGUGAAUCAUCGAAUCUUUGAACGCACAUUGCGCCCCUUGGUAUUCCAUGGGGCAUGCCUGUUCGAGCGUCAUUUGUACCCUCAAGCUUUGCUUGGUGUUGGGCACAUGUUCCCUCUGCUUGCGCAGAGGAGACUAGCCUUAAAACAAUUGGCAGCCGGCAUAUUGGCCUGGAGCGCAGCACAUUUUGCGCCUCUUGUCAUGGUUGUUGGCAUCCAUCAAGAUUUUUUAUCAGCUCUUGACCUCGGAUCAGGUAGGGAUACCCGCUGAACUUAAGCAUAUCAAUAAGCGGAGGAAAAGAAACCAACAGGGAUUGCCCUAGUAACGGCGAGUGAAGCGGCAACAGCUCAAAUUUGAAAUCUGGCUCUUUCAGAGUCCGAGUUGUAAUUUGCAGAGGGUGCUUUGGCGUUGGCAGCGGUCCAAGUUCCUUGGAACAGGACGUCACAGAGGGUGAGAAUCCCGUACGUGGUCGCUGGUCUUCGCCGUGUAAAGCCCCUUCGACGAGUCGAGUUGUUUGGGAAUGCAGCUCUAAAUGGGAGGUAAAUUUCUUCUAAAGCUAAAUACUGGCCAGAGACCGAUAGCGCACAAGUAGAGUGAUCGAAAGAUGAAAAGCACUUUGGAAAGAGAGUCAAAUAGCACGUGAAAUUGUUGAAAGGGAAGCGCUUGCAGCCAGACUUGCCUGUAGUUGCUCAUCCGGGCUUUUGCCCGGUGCACUCUUCUAUAGGCAGGCCAGCAUCAGUUUGGGCGGUUGGAUAAAGGUCUCUGUCACGUACCUCUCUUCGGGGAGGCCUUAUAGGGGAGACGACAUGCAACCAGCCUGGACUGAGGUCCGCGCAUUUGCUAGGAUGCUGGCGUAAUGGCUGUAAGCGGCCCGUCUUGAAACACGG